RNAcentral lists this ribosomal RNA (916 nucleotides) under uncultured bacterium. RNAcentral describes it as "bacterial SSU rRNA". It matches the Rfam family "Bacterial small subunit ribosomal RNA", at positions 8 to 916 of the family's 1533-position model. The record is from RNAcentral.
AGAGUUUGAUCCUGGCUCAGAUUGAACGCUGGCGGAAUGCUUUACACAUGCAAGUCGAACGGCAGCACGGGAGCUUGCUCCUGGUGGCGAGUGGCGAACGGGUGAGUAAUGCGUCGGAACGUACCGAGUAAUGGGGGAUAACGCACCGAAAGGUGUGCUAAUACCGCAUACGCCCUCCGGGGGAAAGCAGGGGAUCGUAAGACCUUGCGUUAUUCGAGCGGCCGACGUCUGAUUAGCUAGUUGGUGGGGUAAAGGCCUACCAAGGCGACGAUCAGUAGCGGGUCUGAGAGGAUGAUCCGCCACACUGGAACUGAGACACGGUCCAGACUCCUACGGGAGGCAGCAGUGGGGAAUUUUGGACAAUGGGGGCAACCCUGAUCCAGCCAUUCCGCGUGAGUGAAGAAGGCCUUCGGGUUGUAAAGCUCUUUCAGCUGGAACGAAACGGUACGCUCUAACAUAGCGUGCUAAUGACGGUACCAGCAGAAGAAGCACCGGCUAACUACGUGCCAGCAGCCGCGGUAAUACGUAGGGUGCGAGCGUUAAUCGGAAUUACUGGGCGUAAAGCGUGCGCAGGCGGAUUGUUAAGCAAGACGUGAAAUCCCCGGGCUUAACCUGGGAAUGGCGUUUUGAACUGGCAGUCUAGAGUGUGUCAGAGGGGGGUAGAAUUCCACGUGUAGCAGUGAAAUGCGUAGAGAUGUGGAGGAAUACCAAUGGCGAAGGCAGCCCCCUGGGAUAACACUGACGCUCAUGUACGAAAGCGUGGGUAGCAAACAGGAUUAGAUACCCUGGUAGUCCACGCCCUAAACGAUGUCAACUGGUUGUUGGGGGAGUGAAAUCCCUUAGUAACGAAGCUAACGCGUGAAGUUGACCGCCUGGGGGGUACGGUCGCAAGAUUAAAACUCAAAGGAAUUGACGG